CUCAUACACGUCAGAUAGCAUUGCUGAUUUUUGUUAACGUUUAACUAACUUUUCUUCUUCUUAUUCCACCCAUUAUCUAUGUCCCCCAAUUCAAGAUUGUCGCUAUAAGCAAUGGCACAUCCGACAUGCAAUACCGACGGGUAUUGAGGAGGAAACAUAGAAAAUAUAAAAACGAGCAUUCUAAGGGCGAUUGGAGUCUAGAAAGUCAAUAAAAUCCUCGAGAUAAAAUGUUACUUAUGGUAUAAAAGAGUCAUUCUGCUUCCGCUCGUUUGAUUUUCAAAGACGGGUCGCCAUUCGUCAUCAUGGUGGUGACAUAACUCGACUCUGGUGCUUUUGCAUCGGAAGAACAACCUGUUGGUCAGCGAGGGUUGCAGAUGAGUAUGGUGUCCUGUGUCCGGGAGUAGAGAGAUAAUAAAUCUCAUACCUGUGUAUGAUGAAGCUAGUGCUUGACCUGUCUUUGUCGAGAACUUGAGAUAGAAGGUGAGGUUGUGUAGCUUUGUACCUAAUGUACACCUUACCGUUGCCGUCAUCAGGGCCUAGAUGCCGCCCCAUAGGCCUUGCCUCUACAAGUUACCGCCUCUGGCAAUGCAAUUUGUGGACGCCGUUUUCAAGUACAUUCUCUAUUGCAGACUCUCACCACCAUUGCUCACUCGCAGAGGUCAGCGACAUGUCCCU
RNAcentral lists this long non-coding RNA (675 nucleotides) under Triticum aestivum (bread wheat). Its description in RNAcentral is "long non-coding RNA (TAES_LNC016263)". Lineage: Eukaryota; Viridiplantae; Streptophyta; Magnoliopsida; Poales; Poaceae. The record is from RNAcentral.